This 75-nucleotide transfer RNA is filed under the name Candidatus Saccharimonadota bacterium. Its description in RNAcentral is "tRNA-Glu". It matches the Rfam family "tRNA". From Rfam's summary of the family: Transfer RNA (tRNA) molecules are approximately 80 nucleotides in length. The record is from RNAcentral. Lineage: Bacteria; Candidatus Saccharimonadota.
GGCCCCAUCGUCUAACGGAUAGGACACCGCCCUUUCAAGGCGGAAACAGGGGUUCGAUUCCCCUUGGGGCCACCA